RNAcentral lists this transfer RNA (73 nucleotides) under Herposiphonia versicolor. RNAcentral's name for it is "tRNA-Glu". It matches the Rfam family "tRNA". Rfam says of the family: Transfer RNA (tRNA) molecules are approximately 80 nucleotides in length. Their secondary structure includes four short double-helical elements and three loops (D, anti-codon, and T loops). Lineage: Eukaryota; Rhodophyta; Florideophyceae; Ceramiales; Rhodomelaceae. The record is from RNAcentral.
UGCUUCUAUCGUUUAAAGGUAAGACAUUAUUUUUUCGUGAUAAAGAUGUGAGUUCAAUUCUCACUAGAAGUAU